CUGUCCUACUGCCGCCAGCCAAUCCCACAAUCAUGUUGAUGAUGUCAGCCAUCGGGUUGUUGUCGAGGUUGUCUUCCAUAUUGGCAUUCACCUGUUGUGAUUCCUCCAUCGAGCCCUUUUCUUUGUUGCAAAUAUAUUUUUUGAGGUAUCCAUGAUGGAUGAGGUCUUCGAUCUCAUUCUUCAGCUAGCGACACUCCUCAGUAUCA
This 206-nucleotide long non-coding RNA is filed under the name Elaeis guineensis (African oil palm). Its description in RNAcentral is "long non-coding RNA (EGUI_LNC000685)". The record is from RNAcentral. Lineage: Eukaryota; Viridiplantae; Streptophyta; Magnoliopsida; Arecales; Arecaceae.